AACAAAAAAAAAAAUGAUGUGAAAAAUUGAGUUACCGACAUAAACAAGAAAUACUACAACUGCUUUGCAAUUACGUAGACGCAGCGGCACAAUGAAAAAAAUAAAACACGAACAAUGCACACUGCGCAGCCGCAACGACAGCAGCAAAGUUCGAGCAACAAAUAAAGAAGAGAUAAAGCAGCAAUGAUCAUGGAAUUAGCAACAGUAGCCGUAGCCAAUAUUGGCAACACUCAGCUGUGGACUUGUACUUCGCGCCAGGCAGAGACUCUGAGGUAGCAGCUGUGGUCGUACGGGCAAAGUUGGUGACUCUGUCGCUGCUGGUAAUUGUGGACGCCAGUUUGUGGCCAUUGUAUUGGCGCGGUAUUGGUGGUAGUGGCUUUUGCGCUAUCCGCACAGAGACAGGCCUCGUUGUUAUGACUUCAUGAGCUCGUAAGCACAACCAGUUACGAUUCAACUUUCAUUCCGUGCUGACGUAUCCGGGCGUGUUGAGUAUGCGCAGCGAGCGCUUUGAGUGUUAACCGAUGUCGGUAAUGAUUCUGUAAAUGGCCAGCAAACAAGGAAUCAGCGGGUACUUAGAAAUGUAACAGCAAGCGAAGUGAAAAAAUUUAUGAAAAAAAGUAAAACAAUAAUUUUUGUAAAAAAAAAAACAAAAAAUAAACAAAAUAAAAUACAAGUUAGUAAAAUUAAUUACGCGCCCGAUCACACACGAGCAUUUCAAUUUAGCUGGUGAAUGUCUAAAAAUGUUUAGGCGAGCGCCAAAAGCAACAGCCCAGCCAACGUUGCUCACAUAAUCGUCGACGGCAACUAAAAUUUGAGUUAACCAAGAAAUGGGAAAACACAAACAAAACAACAAACAAACGAAAAUAACGAUUGUAAUUGUAUUUAAUAGCGGCAAGUGAUUUACCAACGAAACGUGCAGACCAGCUGUAUAACCGAAAGCCUAAAAUUCAAAAAGAAAAAAAAAACACAGCAACUGCACCGAGUGUUGUCCACAAGCGCGGCACGCAAAAAA
This is a long non-coding RNA of Rhagoletis zephyria (snowberry fruit fly), 1012 nucleotides long. RefSeq lists it as uncharacterized. NCBI's taxonomy places the organism in Eukaryota, Metazoa, Arthropoda, Insecta, Diptera, Tephritidae. The record is from RefSeq and is a predicted model, not a curated record.